AACGAACGCUGGCGGCAUGCCUAACACAUGCAAGUCGAACGAAGCCUUCGGGCUUAGUGGCGCACGGGUGCGUAACGCGUGGGAAUCUGCCCUUUGGUUCGGAAUAACAGUUGGAAACGACUGCUAAUACCGGAUGAUGACGAAAGUCCAAAGAUUUAUCGCCAGAGGAUGAGCCCGCGUAGGAUUAGCUAGUUGGUGUGGUAAAGGCGCACCAAGGCGACGAUCCUUAGCUGGUCUGAGAAGAUGAUCAGCCACACUGGGACUGAGACACGGCCCAGACUCCUACGGGAGGCAGCAGUGGGGAAUAUUGGACAAUGGGCGAAAGCCUGAUCCAGCAAUGCCGCGUGAGUGAUGAAGGCCCUAGGGUUGUAAAGCUCUUUUACCCGGGAUGAUAAUGACAGUACCAGGAGAAUAAGCCCCGGCUAACUCCGUGCCAGCCGCCGCCGUAA
Molecule: ribosomal RNA, 449 nt
Filed under: uncultured bacterium
Lineage: Bacteria
Description: partial 16S ribosomal RNA
Rfam family: Bacterial small subunit ribosomal RNA
Source: RNAcentral